This 201-nucleotide ribosomal RNA is filed under the name uncultured bacterium. RNAcentral's name for it is "partial 16S ribosomal RNA". It matches the Rfam family "Bacterial small subunit ribosomal RNA", at positions 524 to 723 of the family's 1533-position model. The record is from RNAcentral.
UACGUAGGGUGCGAGCGUUAAUCGGAAUUACUGGGCGUAAAGCGUGCGCAGGCGGUUCGUUGUGUCUGAUGUGGAAAGCCCCGGGCUCAACUUGGGAACGGCAUUGGAAACUGGCGAGCUAGAGUGUGGCAGAGGGGGGUGGAAUUCCGCGUGUAGCAGUGAAAUGCGUAGAGAUGCGGAGGAACACCGAUGGCGAAGGCA